CUGCCUGAGGCCUGAGGGCCAUUAACCCCCUCCCUGACCAGACUGCAGACUCCGACUCCCCCAAACCAGCCUGGGUUCAAGUAGGGGCUAAGAAGAGAUGGAGAAAGGACCGGGCCGGCUCCAACCUGGGUGCAUUUGUGACUGUUUAGUCUGCUGUGUGAGCAUGUGGGCGCCUCUUGGCCCGUGUGUAUUUAGCUAUCCGCGUACAAUGCAGCUUCAGCACUUUAGUGUGAGGACUUCUCAGUGUGUGACACCAGUGAGGGCAGGCCCAACCUCCUCUCAUCUGCAUUGCCAGACCCAGGGUUGACCUCGGAAGGAACCAGGCUGUCUGAUGGGCUCUGCAGACCUGAAGGUAUUGCUUUUAAAAGGAGGGCACGCGGAAGCAGGCCUGAGGGGCUAGGCAGGGGCUCUGCCCAGGAGGGCCCUAGCCAGGCCUCAGAGCCUCACUGGAGGGCAGUCAUGGGCCAGGAGCCCAAGCUGACUGCAUUUCUGCUCCCUUGGGAGACUUUUCAUUAUCAAAUAAAUAUAGAAAAGAGCCCUCCCUCCCAGCACCAUGCCCUGACUCUCAGUGGCCAGAUGGCUGAACUAGAGGCAGAGCUGGGCACUAGGGGAGUAACUGCUGGGCUCAGGUGGGCUCCCACAGACCCAUCAAAACAGAGGCACAGGCGCCCAGGGCUAGAUAGGGGGCAUGGAGAGGGAGGGACAUGGGCGGCCCUGCUACUGCUGGCAAGAGGUGGCCCCAUUUUUUCCAGAUGGGGAAACUGAGGCACAAGGAGGUUUGGGAACUUGCCCAAGGUCACUCACAGUGAGUCAGCUUUUUAGGGGGGGAGGGGCAGCUCACACUCUAGGGAACAUGGUCUCCCCAUUGGAGAGCAAGAGGCAGGAAGGGUCUGGGGCUGCCAGAGGACGUGGCCCUCUCUGACAGUACACAGGGUAUAGGCCUCUGGAGUUGGGUCUUUGCUUGGUACUGGGUGCGCCAAGUCCAGUGCAGGGAGGGGAAUUCUGGAGAGAACAGCAUUUCUGGCAAGACGGGCAUCCACUUCAAAAUUUUCGGCUCAAAAAGGGUAGCAGGGCUGUUCUCAAGCCAGGCAGGCAGGUCCCCCGUCCCUACAGAUUUCCCUCCACGCCUUCCACCCCCAAGCAGACAUCUGCCCAGGGUCUACUGGGAGAGAUACCAUGUCUGAGGCAGGGUGGGAGGCUCUCUAAGCACAUCUGGCCUGUCCUCAGCGGGCCCAGAGCAUUCUCCAAAGCUGGCCACAGGUCCCUUCACUCUAUGUCCAUGCUACCUGGGUACCACAUGAAGGAUGGAAGAGGCAGGGCUAAUGCGAAUGUGCAGCACCUCAGAGAAGCUACUGAGACAGACAAAGAGCCAAGUCUAGAGAGAGAGGGCCUGGCAGGUUGAGAGCAGAGAACUGGCAAGAGAGUUCCUAGGUGCCUGGGGCAAGAAGGGAACCUACACACAGAUGUGAGCCCUGGUGUUCAGCCAGGCUGGGGGCAGAGAGUGGCCACGGGCUGAACCUAGAGAUGAGAGAGAAGUUGGGUUCAGUAAAAAAAUAAAUAUAUUUGAAUUGGGUGGAAAAUGAGGUGAAAGUGUUCCAAAGCUUAGACUGAGGGCAAGCCCCGGGGGAAGGGGGCAGGGUAGGGAAGAGGACAGUGGGAAGGGUCACUUCCUGGGGGCCAGCAGUGAGCUGGUCAGCUUAUAUGGACUGUGGGGAGCACUGGCCUCUCCAAGCGGCAGCUGUUCUAGGGCCUGGGUGGCAAGUGUAGGCUCCCCUCUUUCCUCCCGGCACUCAGUCCAGAGACAGAGUUAAAGAGACAGAGGUAGAUUAAAAUGUCAUGAUUAAAAGCAGAUUAGGUAUCUAGAAUUUUCAGAUUAAAAAAAAAAAAAAAAACAAAUGAAAAAAACAAUCAAGCAAUCAUCCCAAAAGGUAGCUUUGUGGUACCUCUGUUGACCCUGGCUGUGACCUGGGCUGUCCCUAUCCCUGCCCUGUCCUAUUGCAGCGUAGGAGAGUCAGUUCAGCACUGCUGGGCCCCAGCCCAGGGCCAAUGGCUGGGCCUCAGGUGGGCUGAGGAGAGGUGUGCUGGGGCCAGUGCCCUAGCUGAGGGCACUAUUUCCGCAGGUAACGCUGUGCCAGAAUGGCUGUGUCCAAGGAGGUCAUGGGCUGUGCGUCGUGGCCAAGCCGUCGCACUGGUGGCAUACUGCCGAACUGCCGCUUGGGCACCCAGGUCCGGGCCUCGUGGAUGGAGCUCUUCUCCUCAGCAAGCAGCAGUUGCUGUCGCAUGUAGUUCUCAAACUCGUACUGGGAGCAUUCCUCUGUUACCUUUGCCUGUGAGGCCAAGAGACCAAGGGCAAAUCACCUGCUGAUACCUGGCUGUGUGCUGCCCACCCACCGUGCCCUGCUUUGUGGGGCUCUGGAUCAUCUCCAUCAGCCUAGGAGACUCUGGGAGCUACGCCUGAGCCUACAACUCCCACGCCCAGGAAAACAGCUCACAGAGCAGGUGGUCAGGGUGUCUGUAGACACAGCUGGCAGCCACCACUCACCCCCUCCAUUCCCCUCAUCUCGCCUGGUGUCUUCACAGCAGCUGUCACCAUCUGCCAGUCCCCUCUUUUGUUGCUUUCCACCUCCCUACUAGGUGAGGUGUUCUCUGACACAGGUGCUCUCAUCACUGCCUGGGCCUGGCUUGGGCUUGCACAUUCACUUCAUUAACCUCUCUACCAGCUUUCUUGUCAGCACUAUGGUUUGAAAAUGGUUUUUUUUUUUAAGAUUUAAUAUGUAUACAGUGUUCUGGUUGCAUGCCAGAAGAGGGCACCAGAUCUCAUAGACCAGAUCUCAUAUGGUUGUGAGUCACCAUGUGGUUGCUGGGAAUUGAGCUCGGGACCUUUGAAAGAGCAGUCAGUGCUCUUAACCUCUGAGCCAUCUCUCUAGCCCUAGUGCUAUGGUUUCCGUGUCCCCAGCACAGGGAGGGGGAAGGGGAAAGGAAACUGUAAUGGGACAAAUGGACAUAAAAGCAAGGUGGGGUCGGAGGGAAAAAGAGACUAGGAAGAGGAAGGAGUGAGGAAGGCAUACGGGAACAAAGUAUACUGAUGUGUAAAAACAAAAUUGUCCCAGUGAAACCUGUUACUAAUUUUUUGAAGGUGCCAAACAAAAAGGUCACCUUACCUUGGGGUUUUGUGAGAUUGUCCUUAGGAGAGUAGUAUGCCUUUAUUUGGGGACAGGACUGUUGAGACAGGGUCUGCUACACGGCCCAGACUAGCCUAGAACCCAAGGUCCUCUGCCUCCUGCAGACGCUGGAAGUGUGGUGCCAUGCUCAAACAGUUUAGGCUUCUAGUUUUUAACACUGCAGCUUUAAGCCACAUGAUGGGGAAGAUCCCUCCCAACCCCCAGGGUUUCUCUGUGUAGCUCUGGCUGUCCUGGAACUCACUCUGUAGACCAGGCUGGCCUGGACUCAGAGAUCCACCUGCCUCUACCUCCCGAGUGCUGGUAUUAAAGGUGUGUGCUGCCACUGCCUAGCAUUGGGGAAGAUUUCUUACCUGUCCUUCAUAUGCCCUUUUGGAACUCCCAUCCCUUUCCUACCUCUAACCUGAUGUGACCAGUCUGUCGUCUUCCUCCACUAGACCAGAGAUCUCCUUCAGGGUAGGUCAGGACCAGUUUGGGCUCAGGGAGCCCCAACACCUAGUCCAGGCCCUGCCUACAGGUCACCAUCUGUUCAAGGAGUGUACUGCACACAACGUGGGGAGUGCACAUACCACUGAGCACAUCAGGACUGAUGUAGGCAGGGCUCCCCCUCUGGUCCUUCAGCAGGUCCCCCUCGCUCACGAGGUGCUUCCCAAGGCAGAAGUUGGUGAUAGUUAUCCGAUGGGUCCUAUGAAUGGGAGGCAGAGGGUGAACAUGGAGGCAACAGAGCCACGCGUCCUGCUGGGUCAGGCCCCUGUUCCAAACACAGCCGCAACCUCCCCUGAACCUGCUGCUCAGAGCUUGAAACAAUUCCCAAAGAUUUUCACCAAUAUUCAAGUUGGGAGUAACCUGGAAUUUGCAUAUGAUUCCCUCAUUACCACACUCAGGAAAGACCACCAGAGGUGAGUGACCUUAAUACUCCCUCCCUCUGUGCUACGGCCAGUGGGCAGGUCCUGAGCCUCCUUGCCUCACCAUCGCAGAGAAGGUAGCCCAUGCAUCCUUUGGGCAGGAAGCCCAGCACACCAGGCCUGGGCCUCAUGUGGCCAUUCUGGUUCCAUGUGAAGUUUCCACACGCUCUGGUGCAGUGUGGAGGCUGAUCCUAUGCUGUACCCUCCAGCUGACAGCUGCGUAUCUGUGUGCACAUGUCACGGAGGCCAAAUGUUCAUAUCUGGUUCUUUUUCUCUAUAUCAGUGUUUUUAUUUUUUAAUUGUGCAUGGGUGGUUUGCCUGCAUGUAUGUCUGUGCACCACAUACGUGCCUGGUGCCUGUGGAGGCCAGACGAGGGCACUGGAUCGCCCUGGGACCAGCAUUACAGAUGGUGAGCCAUCACUCAGCCCCCUUACGGUAUUUUUUUUGAGAUGGCAUCUCUUACUGAACCCAGAGCUCUGCAACUUGGCAAGACGACCUGGCCAGCAAAGCCCAGGGAUCCUCUCCUCUAUGCCUUAGCAGGGAUGGGACUGUAGGCUCAAGUCACCAUUCUGGCUUUUUAGGCUAGGGACCUGAACUCAAACCCUCCACACUUGCCUGGCGAGCACUUAACCAAAUGUACUGUCUCUCCUGUCCCCAGCUAUCCUUUCUGGGAAUGGGGGGCGGGGGAGGGGUGUCUCUCCAUGGAGCCCUGGCAUCUACCUAGGUGAAUGUGUCAUUCAGCUCUUCCCAGUUCCCACAGUCCUCAGAGCUAACAGAAUGGGAAUGGAGGGUGCCAGCAGUUAACUGGUUAAAUUUCAACCACUCUUGUCUUCCUAGAACCCCACUAUAGGCCAAAGGCACUCAGGGGAUUCAGCACUGGAAGGGUAGGGAACUUUCCUCGUGUUUUCAGGAUGACGUAACCCCCAUGGGCAGGUGGAACCAGGAGAGGGCACGAGAGCCUUUGUUUAGGAGCAACUCCAACCUUGGUCUCCUUCCUGCUUCAUGCGAGGGCACUCUGCUGCUGAUGUAGGGUGGCAGGGUGGCACGAACCCAAUAGGAGAGGGCCAGCAAUGCAGAUCUGGGUCUUCACUGCUCAAGGACUCCAAGAGAGAAGGUUCACCCCAGAGAGGGAAGAAUUGUGAGCUGGUGAUGCUGCCAAGUUGGGGUUCCCUUUGCUAACAGUUUCGAGCAUGUAGCCUAUAGAAGAGUUUUGGGGCCCUGCCGCAGGGCUUGUGAACACGGCAUGUAGAACCCACACUGUCUGGUAAACGAGGCACUGCCUGGAAGAGUGGCAGGUCACUGUGGGCUGCAGCCACACCGCAUCAUGUACAUAGGAUUAGCGAUGUCUGUUCCCAACAACCUUUGUGGCUGUCUCAUUUCCUGUAGUGCCAGGGGUCACAGCCAGGGCUUGUGCGCACCAGGCAAGAGCUCUUUCACUGACUAUACCCCAGCCCUAUUCCUGUUCACUGCCACUGAUAGCGUAGCUUCCUGACAGUCCUCAUUUGGAGCUGCAGGUUCUCCUGGGAGGCAAGACUGACAUCAGAUAAAGAAUGUGGCUCCACAUAGUGGGCAAGAGUCACUUAGGAAGCUGGAGCAGCAGCGCAGGAAAGGCAUAAGGAGGGGAGCUGAACUGGUACAGAGAAAAUAAGGGCCAUACAGGAAAUACAGAGCUAGUUUUGAGGCCUAUCCUUGGUAGCACUUCAGUCUCUGCCAGGACUCAGGUGGCAUUUUAUUCCAACAGCGGCCUAUAAAGGAGGCUUUUUGUUAUCAUUUAUUACAAUUUAUUCAAUUUGUAUCCCAGCUGUGGCCCCCUCCUUCCCUCUUCUCCCUCUAUACCCCUCCCCUAGUCCACUGAUAGGGGAGGUCCUUCUCCCUUUCUAUUUGACCCUAGCCUAUCAGGACUAGUUGCAUUGCCUUCCUCUGUGGCCUGGCAAGGCUGCACCUCCAAGAGGGAGGUGAUCAGAGAGCCUGUCUCUGAGUUCAUGCUAGAGAAAGCCCUUGCUCCCCUUACUAGGGACCCCACUUGGAUACUGAGACUAUGGGCUACAUCUGAAUUGGGGUUUUAGAUUCUAUGCAUUGUCCCUUGGUUGGGCUAUCAGUCUCUGCAGGGUCCCCAGGGCUCAGUUUUUUUUGGCUCUGUUGGUCUCCUUUUGGAGCUCCUGUCCUCUCCAGGUCUUUCUAUUUGAAGGCGGCUUUUCCAAUGCCCUAUUUCAGAUGGUACAACUAAGGCCCAGAAGUAAAGGGACCUGCCCGAGGUCACAUAGCUUUCGAGUUGGAAGGUAGGUCCAAGCCCAGGUCUAAGGCCCCAGAGACCCUGGGAAGUACCCAGCCCCCAAAUAACUUGUUUCUGUUCCAUCCAGGCUGACUCAUCUCUUGUCUUGGUUUCAGACUGCCUUGGCCUAGAAAAAGACUCUUCUCUGAGAAUCAUCAAGCAGGUGGCUUUGGGCUUGGAACCGUUCUAGGAAACUCAUGGUGUGGUCCUCGCACUACAGCUUUGGGGGAAGGGAGGGUUGCCCUCACCAAGAGGGGAGCACCAGUACGGAGGGAUGUCCUGUGCUUAAUGGCUAAGCGUGGCAGCUGGGUAACGGUGUGAGGUGCUCAGUGAGAGCCCAUGAGCACCUCUUUCUAGAACAGUCUCCAGGGCAGGCGGAGGGAGGCUCAAGAGCAGUGUAUGUGGCUGCAAGUGGAUUUCCCCAGGAGCUGCAUCCAAGAGGCUCUGAGAACCCUUCAGCAACUUCAGGGAACUCUGUUGGCAAAGGGCUUGGUGCAAACAAAAGCCAGUCUGUCCUCCACAUUUCCCGUUGAAACGUGGGCUUCAGCUCUCACCCAGGACUCCCUACAGAAGCCUCCCUGGUGGCCUGCAGGCUAGAGCCUCAGACUGCAGACAGAGGGUCUCAGCAAGGGUCCUCUGCAUGUCGAGAUGCAAAGUGCCCCACCUCGGAGCCUCCUGUGCCACUGCUCUGGACAUGAGGCUGUAAGGCUUUACCGGUCAGCACCGUGUGUCUGUGCUGGCCACUGCAACCACAAAUGUAUGUUGUGGCCUCUGAGGCUUAGAAUGCUGGGAGGAGAGCUCAAAGCAGGGGCAGUGGGAUAAAGACCCAGAUUCCCAGGUCUCUGCAUUUCCUUGCUAUGUGAAGCUCUUGCUAAGCUCAAAUGUCCCUUUCUGUCAGGAGAAAUAUGGCAGAGCCUGACCCUCAGGAUCCAACUGGAUCCUGAGUGGUUAAGAAGAUGGUCCACAGUGGGCCCUGAGUUCCAGGCUUGCCAGAGGAAGCUGCCAAUAGCCUCUCAUCCUCUGCCAGCUGGCAUGCCUGAGAGCCUAGGAAAGAUAUCGUCUCUGACAUGGGUGAUAACAGGCCCUGGAGCACAUGCAUUUGUGUUGCUCCAGGUCCCGCCAGCAGGACGUCCAACCUUCUGCUUGUGGAGGCUGCUCUGCCACAGAGGUACCUGGAGUCUCUCCCACAGGAAACACCAUGGUCAGCCCAGAGACCUCCUAAAGCUUGGCAACACUGGCCUGCCUUGCCACCACCACCCACGUUGGCAGAGUGGCAUUCAGCUCCCCAGGAGUCCCAGACCCCCCAGCUGGUCCUGACAGGAGGGCAAAGGCACUGAGGGGUGAUGUGCGUCAGCAAGGGCUGCUUUGGGUGAGUCACGCUCCAGCUAUGGCCCUGGGCUACCACAGUGUUCUGCUUUUCUAGGAAUUGGUAUGCAACUCGCCUACCCAAGAGGAAGGAGGAAGAAGGAACCCGCAGCCAGCCUCACAUAACCCCAAGGAGGACUUCAGAUUUCAGCCCGUGCUUUUCCCUGUUCCCUUGGGCUCUCGUCCCAUUUGUCUGCAUUCCACUGGGUAGCAAGGAGCCUGGCAGGAUGGGUGGGAAAGGGCUGCAUGCCAAGGAUGAACUGGGAAUAUGAGGGGCUUUCCACGCUCUAUCUCCCUGUACCCUUCCUGAGUGUCUGGGUACUUCACUGGAUCCCGUCUGUCCUAAGUGCGGUGUAGUGCUCUGUAACCUGAAGGUCACUUGAGACCUGCUACAGCUAGGCUGAGAGCUCCAGAGGUACGCCUCCAGACUACGCAGAAUCAGGGGCUGGAGAAGGCAGAGAAGGAAAACUACCAUCGGAAAAAAGCCACGCAGACUAGUGUGGUUAGCAGGCAGGAGCCCCACUGUGUGUUUCCAUGACAACCCCUGGGAUGCUCAUUUAGAGAGUCAGCAAGCCAACAAGCAGCUGUUAUGAAAGGCUUGGGCUCUCUAGUCCAGCUGGUUGGGACUUGGGUUCUGCAAUGUCCCACCAAGGGCCUAGAACAAACAGGACCCAAGCCUUCCUCUUUCUUACAGUUUAUAAAUAAAUAAAUAUAUAUAUUUAAGGCA
Molecule: long non-coding RNA, 8448 nt
Organism: Meriones unguiculatus (Mongolian gerbil)
Lineage: Eukaryota; Metazoa; Chordata; Mammalia; Rodentia; Muridae
Exons: 3
Source: RefSeq, a predicted model, not a curated record